AUCUACUGGCCACUUUCUGGCACUCUUUCAGGAAGCACCACAGCAUGUUUUUUUUUUUAUUCUUAAAAUAAAAUCACAAUGCUUGCAUCAGAUAAGGAGGAGACGGACUGUUCCCGUCAAGUGAGGAAAAAAAGAAACUGAUUAGAGUGAAGUGAAAAUGUGGCGAAAGUGCCGAUAGAGUUCGACUAUUCCAAAACAACCAGCCUAAAUGAGUGGGGUGUGUAUUGAUAUAGUAUGCAAUAAACUCGGAGGCGGUUGAAGGUUUAGUCCACACAUAGAGCGAGGAUGCAGAUUCAUUCAGCGGCGGGACCGAGGAGGACUUCUCCCAACUUUGGACUCUCCUCGUCUGGGCGGUGCACUUGGACUAAACUACGCCCCCGACAGACUAACAAGCCCCUUGUGGAGGAUGAUCCUUUUACCAGCGGCACCAGCUCUCCCCUCUGCAUGAUGGCCUGAAGAUGCUUGCCCCUCUCCGAGCCUGAGUUGACCUCGGCGCGGAGCAGAUCCCCCGACGACAGUUGAAGAAGUCCAAGCUGGCUUCAUCUCCCUGACUGCACCUCUUCUUUCUGGAGCUAAAGUCAACCUGCAGUUUUCUCCUUCGUGACCCAAAAACAAAUCUGCGCCUUCUCCCUGUUGUAUUAAGUUGAAGUCAACCUUGCCUUCAUUUCCCUGACCGGACCUCUUCUCCCUCUGAAACAAAGGCACCAUCCUGUCUACCUUUACCAGGACCUGUAGUUCAAACGAUGCCAACCCUGCCUUCUUGUUUAUGCCGCCUGCACCUCCCCUCUAUUCUCAGAGCGAGGGGCUGGCCGCCGUCCCUUGGUUAUCCCCACAAGCGAGAGUCGUGCGCGGUUCCUGCUGAACGGCAGCCCUCCCUCCCCCACGCUAUGCCUUUUUAUAGCCUGGCUGAGCCUGCGCUGCAUUCUGGGUAAGAGGGCACCAGAGCAGAUAAGGAGGGGAGGGGAGGAGAGGCUGAGGAUGGAUAGGUGAAAUUAGAGACGGGAUGUCUAAAAGUAGCAGCAGUCUUUGAGUAUUUAGUAUUUAGAAAAUCUAUUCUUACUUAAUCGGAGAUAAUAUGAGGUGAAUAAAGGCUAUGGAGGUGGUGCAAUAACAGCGCAGGGACAAUGUAGAUAAAAUGUUUCACAAUCCGGGUUUUGUCAAGUUGCAUAUUGCGAGAAAACAUCAGGCACUGCAAUAGAAACGCAACAAAGUGGUGGUCAUAAUAAACCUCAAACAUUUUAUUUAACGUAUGGGGAACUUGAUCGCCUCCCCCAAAUGGAACAUAAAUACAAAAUAGAUUUAUAUAUUAUGUACAAAUUACGGCAGUGACAAAUACAAGCACAGCGGGUACUUUUUUCUAAAAAUAAAAAUGUUAAUUCACAGAAUAACUGCAGCUCCCAAUGUUGUCCAAAGACUUGCACUAUAUUGUAUUCUGAGGUACAAAAAUGAGGUAUGCAUGACCUUUGUUUAGAAAAACCAAACAAAAGAUAAAAGAAACCAGCUUGUAAUUUUUAACAUUUUCGUACCAUAGAACAAAUUUUCACAUUACUCCCAGUUAAAAAUCUCCUUGCUGCUGUUUAGCUGACCAAAAACUCUCAGCAACUUGUGUGAUUCUCAUGGUCAUCUUUACUGAAUUAUCUCACAAAAAUGUAGCUUUAAGACUUCUAUUCCCUGCAAUAUAAUUAUUACUAUUAUUGUAAAUACUAAUAUAGUGGUGUGGGGAAGGGGGGGAUAAUGAAACUGCACAAUGUAAUACAGGGCUUUAACCACAAGGGCUAAUAUUUCAUAAGUUCAAUACUGUACUCGAAUAAUACUAAGGAAGCAGCUUUGAGCGGAUAGUUUUUUUGUCAGGGGAUUUCAUUAUGCACUUAAAUAUACAGCAAGUGCUUUCAAGUUUUUAAGCUAGGCAUUUUUGACUUAACACUGAAUAGCGUUAGCCGCAUACUGUCACUGAACACCAGGAACACCAGUCUUGUACGAAUGCUUACAGCAGCAAUAAUUUUUAAAAAAUGUCUAUAAGCCUGAAAGAUUUGGCAUGUGUGUAAGCACUUUUAAGGGAAAAAAACCUACUGUAGAUAAAUAAUAAUUUAUAUAUAUAUCUAUAGAUACAUAUAUAUAUAUAUAUAUAUAUAUAUAUAUAUAUAUCUUUCAGUGCAAAUCAUUGAUUUCUCUGACUAGAAUUAAAUUAAUCUUAGAAGUUAAGAAUGUUUAAACGAUACUGUUGGUGUGCUUCUACAAAUACAAUCUCGAGUCUGGGGAGAAAAAAAUGCUGAUUAAGGCAUCAGAUGUUAUUUUGUUAGUGACAGCAAUCAAAUUUUGACAAAUCCCCUCACGACCGUGCAAAACUGCUGCAUGUAUUCUGUUAUAUUUACACAUAUUUCAUUAAGAAUUUGACAUGGCACCACCACCUGUCCCACACAUUUUUUUUUUGCAAGUGCACCGCCCUGUUAUUGUCGUUUUGGUAACCGCUGCACCGCAUCCUAGCUGGGGAAACCGCCCGGUGGCUCGAGGUCGGCAGAUUCUUCCGGGCUGUCCUGCUCGUCGGCGGAGAGCUGAACGCGCUGCUCAUCCAUACGCUUGGCCUGCACUCUCUGAAUUAGGCUAAAGAAGUCUUCGUCAGGCACCGUGGGAGCGUGGGGUCCUGCUUCUGGCGGGGAGCACCGCUGAUCGUCGAUCCGAGAGGACUAAGUCACACAUGUUCAAACAUAGCAAGGGCAAAUGUCACAAUAUGAAAUUAGCAUAUGAAUCAUUCAACUUGUGUGUGCUUCCUACAAUUCACCACAAGGACAACCAGUACAUAGACCAGGGGUGUCCAAACUUUUUCCACCAAGGGCCAAAUAUGUAUAAAUACACACAUAUAUAUAUAUAUGAUGCAACGUGGUAGAUACUGCAGUUUCAAAAUGUUAUUAAUAAUGCUGUGACGGUAUCAAACGAAAACUUUGUGAGUGGCAUGUCUGUAAAUAAACUGCAUCUCCCAGAAUCCUGGAUAGAGGGAAAGAUAAAUGCAGAGAUGUACAGAGACAUCCUGGAUGAAAACCAACACUUCCCAUCCAAUCUAAUGGAGUUUAAGAAGUGCUGCAAAGAGGAAUGUGCGAAACUGCUCAAAGAUAUUGUAGGUGGCCCAGCUUGUGGCAUCGUAUUCAAAAAGCCUUGAGGCUGUAAUUGCUGCCAAAUGGGCAUCAACAAAGUAUUAAGCAAAGGCUCUUAAUACUUAUCGACAUGUGAUUUUUCUGUUGUUUUUUUUAAUACAUUUGCUAAAAUUUCUACAGAUCUGGGUUUUUUCUAUCGUCAAUAUGGGGUGCCGAGUGUACAUUCAUGAGAAAUAAAAAUUAACUUAAUUUUUGAUUUUGAGAAAUGGCUGCAUUGCAACAAGAGUGAAAGAUUUAAAAGGGUCUAAAUACUUUCCGUACCCACUGUAACUUCAAAAAAAUAUUUCAAUAUGUUGACGCAAAAGCAAUUUUACUGUCAGAAUGUUAAACACAAUUUAAAUAAAAUGUUUUACUACAUUUAUAGAAUGUAUUCACUCAAAACGUGGUAUUAAAUUCAGUCCCACUGGGUGUGUUUUCAAGCACUACUUGUCACAGUCAGAGUCCCCUCACUCAUCUUUGCAGACCGUGUAACAACCCACUCCACCUUUCAGCUCACCCUCAAAGAGCAUGUGUGGUGUUUUGCCUGAUUAAUCUGCAUUAAUACAUGGUUAACACGAUACAUUUUUGUGAUUAAUCACACAAGUUCACACGGUAAAUUUGGUUUGUUUUUGUUUGAUUUUAUUUCGACAAUGUGCUCCAAGCCACAAAUUCCCCCCAGGCUGUAGCUUGGACACCCCUGAGAACGACUAAAAAAGCCCCUGCACAAAGCCAAGUCCCAUAACAGCAGGCAUGCUUGGAUGCAUCUGGUGGAGAACAAUGUGUGAAGACCCCUGACCUUUGACCUCAUCAAACCGCCCUCUACAAGAACCAAGUAGUGAGGAUAGCUUCCUCCACUUUAACUGAUGUAUCACUACCUACACAGCCAUUUGCAGCUUCUCCCAUUUGGACGGAGGUUUUUAGUCCAAAUAAAACGGUACAGAUGUAGUUUUGUCCCAGCUGCCAUCACAGAAGUACCUCUUUGCCUAUAUUUAUUUUAGUGCAAUUUAUUCUUUUAUUCUGGCUUGUCCCAAAUCUUAUCUGAUUUGGAUUUUACAUGUUUUAUCCUUUUUAAGGGGAACUUUGAGUACAUGUACUAUUUUGUGAUCUUGGCAAUGUUUGUGAUGCUUGUUAUGUGGUAGGUCUUUGUAUUGCAUAUCUAAGAUGUUCCUUUCUCUGUAUGUUUAAAUGGAUGACCUGAUCUUGCUGGCUGCAAAACAAGUUUACCUUCGGGUACUAAUAAAGUAACCUAACCUAACCUCAUCAAACACGUCUUGAUGAACUAGAACAGAUCUAAUUGAGCAAGCAUUUUGCAAAAGGGAAUUUUCUACCAUUUUAACGUGUCCCAGUACUUUAGUCCACCGCGUUAUUACCUGGCACUUGAUGAGCAUGUUGAAGAAGUCGUCGCUGGGCUCUUGAUCGCCUUCACCCACCAGGUGGCCCAGGUUGUUCUGGGUGAUCCUGAGACCCGGAAGA
Long non-coding RNA from Entelurus aequoreus (snake pipefish), 4601 nucleotides. RefSeq lists it as uncharacterized. The record is from RefSeq and is a predicted model, not a curated record. The transcript has 8 exons. Lineage: Eukaryota; Metazoa; Chordata; Actinopteri; Syngnathiformes; Syngnathidae.